Molecule: non-coding RNA, 26 nt
Filed under: Mus musculus (house mouse)
Lineage: Eukaryota; Metazoa; Chordata; Mammalia; Rodentia; Muridae
Source: RNAcentral
UGGGUGAUGUGCUGGACCUCCCCCAA